RNAcentral lists this ribosomal RNA (497 nucleotides) under uncultured bacterium. RNAcentral describes it as "partial 16S ribosomal RNA". It matches the Rfam family "Bacterial small subunit ribosomal RNA", at positions 28 to 507 of the family's 1533-position model. The record is from RNAcentral.
GAUGAACGCUGGCGGCGUGCCUAAUACAUGCAAGUCGAGCGAACAGACGAGAAGCUUGCUUCUCUGAUGUUAGCGGCGGACGGGUGAGUAACACGUGGAUAACCUACCUAUAAGACUGGGAUAACUUCGGGAAACCGGAGCUAAUACCGGAUAAUAUUUUGAACCGCAUGGUUCAAAAGUGAAAGACGGUCUUGCUGUCACUUAUAGAUGGAUCCGCGCUGCAUUAGCUAGUUGGUAAGGUAACGGCUUACCAAGGCAACGAUGCAUAGCCGACCUGAGAGGGUGAUCGGCCACACUGGAACUGAGACACGGUCCAGACUCCUACGGGAGGCAGCAGUAGGGAAUCUUCCGCAAUGGGCGAAAGCUUGACGGAGCAACGCCGCGUGAGUGAUGAAGGUCUUCGGAUCGUAAAACUCUGUUAUUAGGGAAGAACAAAUGUGUAAGUAACUGUGCACAUCUUGACGGUACCUAAUCAGAAAGCCACGGCUAACUACGUG